This is a long non-coding RNA of Sesamum indicum (sesame), 655 nucleotides long. RefSeq lists it as uncharacterized. The record is from RefSeq and is a predicted model, not a curated record. NCBI's taxonomy places the organism in Eukaryota, Viridiplantae, Streptophyta, Magnoliopsida, Lamiales, Pedaliaceae.
GGCCCAGCAUUGAACCUUCAAGAAUUUAGACACAAUCCCCUAUCUAUACUCCUCCCAAGAGGCUGCAGCAACACCUUGUUAUAAACCCUAAUCCUCCAAACACUCCAAUCCCUAAUUAGAGCAUUCUUCUUGUUGCCGCUCUCUAUCGGUUUGUUGGUAACAAAAGCUCAAUUUUCGACCAAUUGCAAUCUUAAUAUUUUUCGUGUAUGGUCUUCUUCUUCUUCUUCUUCUUCUUCUUCAGUGCCGCUGGUUUUCUCCGGACCCUUUUGAGGACACAAUAUAGAUGAGCAGGGACUAUUUCGAUCGGUUGGAUUAGUGACCCAGUAGCUUGACCUAUUCAAUCCCCCGCCGGAUUUUGAAAAUAUUGGGUAGCACACAAAAGCACAAAUACUGGGAGAUGGGACUUGGGAGAAAGAAUCCAAUGGGAUUUUCCAGAAAUUGUUCAUUCCUUUCUAAUUAGGUGUCACUUUUAAUAUUCCACCAAGUAUUGGGUGUCCCUUUCAUCCUGUGAGUAACUUCUCCACUCUUCACCACCACAAUUCGUUUUAUGGUGCAAGGCCAAGGUGCUGGCUAGUGGGGCUACUCUUGGGAAAAAUGGUGGAAUUGAAUUUUUGAUUUAUCCAAUUAUAAUAAAUAAUUGAAUGUAUUUUCAUUA